Hemicordylus capensis (graceful crag lizard) is the source of this 4183-nucleotide long non-coding RNA. RefSeq lists it as uncharacterized. The transcript has 3 exons. The record is from RefSeq and is a predicted model, not a curated record. NCBI's taxonomy places the organism in Eukaryota, Metazoa, Chordata, Lepidosauria, Squamata, Cordylidae.
UGGUGGGAGUUGUAGGCUGCCAUUUGUAGGCGGAGGGCUGCCAUUUGAGAGGCCUGCUCUAAUUGUUUUGUAAAACCAUCUGAGCUAACUGGUUAAAGUGGCCUCCGCUUUAAAAACCAUUCUUGGGCUCUUGCAGGAAAAGGAACAUCUCCCUUUUGGCCAUGCACGAUCCUGCAGUUUCAUAGGACUGGAGGGAACAAGGGAAGAGGAAAAGCAGGAGCUAUUUGCAUACUCCCAAGGCUGAAUUUGGAGCGGGCCAGUAGGUUGGCUGUGUGCCACUGAAUUUCUUACAUUAAAGCCUUAUUUCGGUUUUGAUAUACAGGAAACCCUCGUUAUCUGCAGUUCUGAGGAUUGUGGUUUAAUGUAUCUGCGGAUGGGUAUUAGAGACCCAGUUUCUUUAUCUGUGGCAUGAAAUGUGGGCAAUUUUUGCCUGAGUGGCCAGAAAUGACUUCUGAUGUAAUUUCUGGUUGCCAUCUUGAAGCACAGAACCAUUUUGUGGCUUUUUUUUUUGUUAAAAAAUUUUUAAAAUGAAAAAUAAGAGGGGGGCAUUUCUGAAGACCUGAAGAACAAGGUUCUAUGCUUUUUUACCCUUAUUUCUCCUCCCUUCCUGCUUUUUUUGGACAUUCUUUUGAGUAAGGCACCUAACCCCUGGAUUUCCAUAGGGACAGAGAUGCAUUGGCAGGGCGGCAAGUGGAACGCGGCAGUAUCAUUGUUGGUCACAUGAAGGGCCUCGGGGAGAAGGAAAAGGAGCUCACAUCAUGCCUGGAGCCUAUACAGAACCAAACCCCAUACAGCUACUCAAAACAGAGGACUGUCCGGGUCAAAUGAGGAUGCAUGGCCACCUUAGCGGUCACAGAUUUGGUGUUUUGUUUACCUAUAUCAUAAAAUGUUGUUAGGCUUUGGAUCUGUAGGAGGAUCUUGCUUUCUGUAACAAGCAAGCUCAGGAGAGGCGUUUCGGGAUCAAUUCCCUUAGAAGCAAUGGAAUCCAAUAGUGCUUGCUUGAAAAUACUUUUAGCCACUUAUUUGCAGAAGUUUAUUGGCAGGAUUGGCCAGCAGCAGAUGAACAGCAGAAUUUGCUGGAAUUGUUUGCCAUUUGCCUGUAUCCUUCAGGACAGACAGAUCAGUGGCAAUAUCUCUACCAUAAAUCUCUCUUCAUUCAUGCCGCCUCCCUUUCCCUUGUUCCUGCUGCUGCUCCUGGGCUGUAGCACUGCAGCUCAAGCAGUGCUAUUAUGGGUUUUAUCUAUAGAGUUGGGGUGAAACCCCCACACACACAUUUUUUGCCCCAUUUGCAAGUCUGAAAUGUGAGCAUUUUGGAAAUUGGACAGGGGGGCAGUGGUGGUGAAGGAGGGCCUUUCUGGGGGGAACAAUACUCCUCUUCACCACUGGCAGCCAGCAUUUUCCCCCAAAGUCCCCCAGAAACAAUGCUGUGUUGUCACGCAAUAUAGUUCCCAGGGACUUCUGAGGAAAGUAAUACAGCUGUCACCAGAGGGAGGCAUGCCACUGUGCAAAAUUGGUUGUGACAGCCCCAAAAAGUGAGCCUGAGGACAGUGUUCUUUGUAACAGGAAUUCCCAGGUGUGGUUGACUAUAAUGCCUAUCUUCCCUGGCUGCAGAGGCCUUCGGUUGGGGACUAUGGGAGUUGUAAUCAACAUCUGGGGAUCCUUGUUACAGGGAACACUGCCUGGGGGGUAGUUGGAGUGCAGCUUUUGCCCCCUCCCAGAUUUUGAACUGGAAGUCCUUGGGCAACCUUUGUCUUGCCUUGGUCCUUUACAUCCCCAAGUGACCACAAUUGAGGUAGUGCAUUUAUUGCAGGGCUAUUCUUUCCAUCGUCUGCAAAGAGCACCUUGAUAUUCAAUAGCCGACAUGCCUCUUGCAUCUUGAAAGGGCUGGGGGCCAAACCAGAGAUGCUGUUUAUUUGAAAGGCAGAUGCAAAUCUAUUAACCAAAUAAAAGUACAUAAAUGAAAUAUGAAACUGCCUUAACUCAGUGAAGAGCCCAGUCCUGCCUCCUCCAACAGGCAGUGGCCCUCCGAGGUCUCAAAUAGGAGUUUUCCUCAGCCUCGCUGCUUGAGAGCCUCACAUCUAGGGCCAACAGAGACUGAACUUGGGAACCUGCAUGCAAAGUAUAUGCCCCCUCGCUGCAAAGUGGCUGUGCUGCUGCCCCCUCACAGCCCCCUCACUCACUGCAAAGUGGGUGCAAAACUUAAAAUCUCCACCUUUUCCCCCUCUUUCUUUUUUACUGGCUCUGCUACUGUUGCUUUAACCACCACAUAGACAUUUAACAGACGGUGUUUUCCCUACCAGAUUUCCAUGCUAGAGAAAGCUUCUCCUGCUGAAAUGGGCAAAGAGGCACCCAGAGAGUUGCCCUGCUAACUGGGCAAAGAGGCACCUUUUAAAAGUGGUGAUUCUCUCUAAUUGGCAUGGGGAGAGCAACUGGCCCUAUCCAUCCCCAACACAACAUCCCCAGUGACUGCUGCUGGUGUCUGUCUUAUGUUUCUUCUUAGAUUGUGAGCCCUUUGGGGACAGGGAGCGAUCUCAUUAAUUCAUUCAUUUCUCUGUGUAAACCAUUUUGGAAACUUUUGUUGAAAAGCAGUAUAUAAAUAUUAUAGUAGUUGUAGUAGUUGAACAUCUGUGUAUUAGGGUGCAGGGGCAUAGCCAAAAUUGAAGACGAAGGGACAAAUGUCCCUGGGCCCCUAAGGGAGAGGGCCCCGCAAGAUGGGUGACCACUUGCGGUUUGCUCUCCCCCUUGCACCUUUCUGAAAAGAAGCCAGGGGAGGGCAGGGGCCCUGCUUCCCUUUUGUGUCCCAGGGCCCACUCCAACCUUGCUAUGCCCUUGUUAGGGUGCUGUUAAAGCCACAGGAACAAGGCCAGGGGAAAAGAUGGCAAGCCUAGCAGCCCUUGGGUAGAGGGCCCCAUGGCUUGUGUAUUCUAACUCUUUUCAGGUGACAUUUGAACAGGGGUGGGGAAGCAUGAGGUUGCACACAGCCCACUUCCAUGUGUUUAAUUUAAAUCCAAAAGAGCUCCCACAUGUACAAUUCUGUGGCUAAUAGCCUGACUAAUAUUGUGCUUGUGCAAUCAACAAGUUGUGCUACAUCAUGUGGGUACAGAGAAUUGUGCUGUUGUGCAAACAUUACCCAUAAAACAUAUGAGGCAUGCCACGGGUUGUGCAUCUUGUUGUUCAAGGGCAAACGUAUUUGUGUCAAUGCAACACUAGCCUGGGAUGCAAGCUCCACACUAGUGCAACCAGCCAGUGCAGCAGACUUGUGCUAGCACCAUGUCCUUGUGCAAAUACAGCCUUUGUUAGGAUGUCAGCCUAUGGGUGGAGCAGAGGGCUCUCUCUUGCAGUCAGGGUCCUUGCUUUGUUCUGAAAAGGAAAAGUGUCUUGACGAAUCAGUUGCUGCCAACUGCUGGUUCCCAUCCAAUUCUUCUGCACCAGUCAAGAGGGAAACACGUUUUCAAGAAAUAACUACUAUUCAGUUUCAGCACUUUGAAAGAAACAUCUUGUUUCCCAUCACAAUAAGAGCCCUACAGGUUCAGAUUGGAAGCAUGUGCUUAUCACAUGUGUCAACACUACGUGAAAUUUGUAACAAGCACAAGGUCUUGUUUCACGCUGCAUGUUGGCAAUUUGUCCUGGGCACUUGGGAAACAGACUGAAGCGCCUCUUCCUCCCACCGACCACUAACUCAGCCUUCCUACUCCGGCAUGUGCUGUCCUGUCCCCACUGGAUUCAACAGGCCUCCUUAAGCCUUCUGAGAGCCACAGGCGUGACCCAGAGCUCAGGAAAGUGUGCCCUGCUACGUGACGUUAUCCACAGCAGGAGCUGACUCCUGUUUACAAAGCUCAAGGCUGCUGCACGAGUGACCAUCAAGAAUGUGGACUCCUUGUACACUCGGUAACUGGAGGAGCAGUAACUGGAGGAACAAAAAAACAUGCAUUUAUUCACAUCUUCUUUGCCCCCGGCUUGUGACCAUUAUAACCCGAAUCAUUUGCAUUCCCCAGGGAAAGAACAUGGAGCCUGAAUGUGUUGACAGACACAUAACCUCCAGCAAAAAGGAGAGCAUUCUUGUGUGCUUGUAACACCCUAUUACCACCCCAGGAAAAUAAAUAUCUGGGCUUCCAUACUCUGUUAUUACACACGGCUGAAGGCUCAUCUUGACCUGAUGUCCAUUUAUGAUGCAAUAACCUGU